GCCGCCAAGGAGAAGGUCGCUAUGGCAACGCUCCCGACACUGACUCAAUAAUGGGCUCGAACGCUGAGCUGUUGUUCUCUCCCCCCCCCCCCUUUAAAAAAAAAUCCAAACAGUCACGAGCGGCGCCGACUGGGCGCGAGGUCACGGCCCGGAUACGCACGCGCAGGGGACUCUACGCACGCGCCCGUCCAGUCUUAAAGGGACAGUAACGCGGAACUCGCUUCCCGGGGCCAGCGAGGGAAAGAGUCACGCACAUUGACUCUUCCCGCUCCGGGGAAGGAAAGUGACAACCACGCCCCUUCGGCCCACACUUCCGGCACCACGUGCUGACCUCACAAUCAACAGCGAGUGCGUGCUCAUCUCCCGGAACUCAAUAGAUGAUGGUAAAAAUACAAAAGCAAUUUUCCCCUUCUUGGUAGUGACACCUCCUCAUCAAUUAUGGAGAGUGGACCACAUCCACCCUGACUGAAUUGGCCUUAUCAAUGCUGAUUCUCCACUUGUAAGACCAAGAACAACCACAUCUUCAGCCUGAAUUAAUUUUAUUUUGGAUUAUGUAAUACAGCACAAAAGAACAAGAGCAAAGACCCUAUGAGAGAGCACAGUGUGUGUGUUCGUCUGAAACAGACUGUGGUAGGUCUCAGAACUAAACGGCUGCUCUCUCUGUUAGAGGCAACACUCUUAGACAUUUAAAGAUACAGUACCCCAACAAAUAAAGAAACCACAAUUUCAUAGCUACAUACACCACAUAGUGCACUCUACAAUCCAUAAUGAGUAAAGCUUCCCAAAUAUGUUGAUCCCCAUAUUAUAGAUUAUUAGUAUUUAUAUUUCAGUAGU
Gopherus flavomarginatus (Mexican gopher tortoise) is the source of this 834-nucleotide long non-coding RNA. RefSeq lists it as uncharacterized. The record is from RefSeq and is a predicted model, not a curated record. Lineage: Eukaryota; Metazoa; Chordata; Testudines; Testudinidae. The transcript has 3 exons.